AACGGCGUCGUUUCGAUAUCAAUCCGUCUUCUUCCUCGCGUCUUAGUUCUCAUCCUCUCUCUCUCUCUCUCCUCUGCAACUCUCUCUCUCUAGUCUCUACUCUCUCAGAUGAAGCUCAUUCUGAGAACCGACUGUGAACCGCCACAGAAAUGAAGCAUCGGCCAGCAUCGGCGUUUCUCCUCCCCAUCGACCAGUUUUGGCCGGUUUUCUCCCCCAAAACUUAAGCGUCGGUCGGCGUUGGUUUUUCCCAAAAACCACGCCGAAGGGGUCGGUUUUCACCCCUAGGGAUAGGUACAAAG
Long non-coding RNA from Juglans microcarpa x Juglans regia, 299 nucleotides. RefSeq lists it as uncharacterized. Lineage: Eukaryota; Viridiplantae; Streptophyta; Magnoliopsida; Fagales; Juglandaceae. The transcript is spliced from 3 exons. The record is from RefSeq and is a predicted model, not a curated record.